RNAcentral lists this ribosomal RNA (462 nucleotides) under uncultured bacterium. RNAcentral's name for it is "bacterial SSU rRNA". It matches the Rfam family "Bacterial small subunit ribosomal RNA", at positions 337 to 791 of the family's 1533-position model. The record is from RNAcentral.
UCCUACGGGAGGCAGCAGUUUCGAAUUUUUCGCAAUGGGCGAAAGCCUGACGGAGCGACGCCGCGUGGGGGAUGAAGGUCUUCGGAUUGUAAACCCCUGUCAGCUGGGAACAAGACCUUGAAGCUAAUAAUUUCAAGGUUUGAUAGUACCGGCAGAGGAAGCCGUGGCUAACUCUGUGCCAGCAGCCGCGGUAAUACAGAGACGGCAAGCGUUGUUCGGAUUUACUGGGCGUAAAGGGUCCGCAGGUGGCCAAGCAAGUCUGAUGUGAAAUCCCGCAGCUUAACUGCGGAACUGCAUCGGAAACUACUUGGCUGGAGGUUGGUAGAGGAGUCUGGAAUUCUUGGUGUAGCGGUGAAAUGCGUAGAUAUCAAGAGGAACACCGGUGGCGAAGGCGAGACUCUGGACCAUACCUGACACUCAGGGACGAAAGCGUGGGGAGCAAACGGGAUUAGAUACCCCGGU